GACGAACGCUGGCGGCGUGCUUAACACAUGCAAGUCGAACGGAAAGGCCCUGCUUUUGUGGGGUGCUCGAGUGGCGAACGGGUGAGUAACACGUGAGUAACCUGCCCUUGACUUUGGGAUAACUUCAGGAAACUGGGGCUAAUACCGGAUAGGAGCUCCUGCUGCAUGGUGGGGGUUGGAAAGUUUCGGCGGUUGGGGAUGGACUCGCGGCUUAUCAGCUUGUUGGUGGGGUAGUGGCUUACCAAGGCUUUGACGGGUAGCCGGCCUGAGAGGGUGGCCGGGCACAUGGGGCCUGAGAUACGGCCCAGACUGCUACGGGAGGCAGCAGUGGGGAAUAUUGCACAAUGGGCGGAAGUCUGAUGCAGAAACGCCGCGUGCGGGAUGACGGCCUUCGGGUUGUAAACCGCUGUCGCCUGAGACGAAGCGUGAGUGACGGUAAUGGGUAAAGAAGCACCGGCUAACUACGUG
This 468-nucleotide ribosomal RNA is filed under the name uncultured bacterium. RNAcentral's name for it is "partial 16S ribosomal RNA". It matches the Rfam family "Bacterial small subunit ribosomal RNA", at positions 28 to 507 of the family's 1533-position model. The record is from RNAcentral.